UACCAGACUCCUACGGGAGGCAGCAGUGAGGAAUAUUGGUCAAUGGGCGGGAGCCUGAACCAGCCAAGCCGCGUGAGGGAAGAAGGUACAGCGUAUCGUAAACCUCUUUUGUCAGGGAACAAAGGCGGGGACUAGUCCCCGGAUGAGGGUACCUGAAGAAAAAGCAUCGGCUAACUACGUGCCAGCAGCCGCGGUAAUACGUAGGGGGCAAGCGUUAUCCGGAUUUACUGGGUGUAAAGGGAGCGUAGACGGCAAUACAAGUCGGAAGUGAAAUACCCGGGCUCAACCUGGGAAUUGCUUUGGAAACUGUAUGGCUGGAGUGCUGGAGAGGUAAGCGGAAUUCCUAGUGUAGCGGUGAAAUGCGUAGAUAUUAGGAGGAACACCAGUGGCGAAGGCGGCUUACUGGACAGUAACUGACGGUGAGGCUCGAAAGCGUGGGGAGCAAACAGGAUUAGAUACCCGGGUAAUA
RNAcentral lists this ribosomal RNA (469 nucleotides) under uncultured bacterium. Its description in RNAcentral is "bacterial SSU rRNA". It matches the Rfam family "Bacterial small subunit ribosomal RNA", at positions 329 to 795 of the family's 1533-position model. The record is from RNAcentral.